UCGGUCUCCGCGGUUACGGGAGUGGAGCUGCGUCGGGAGAAUGGCGCCGGGCGGUGUUGCGCUGUCGUUUCUGCUGCUCGCCUUGACUUGUCUGGGCGCCAUCGGCCAGGGCUUGGCCGACAAGCGGCUGAAGAUGCAGUACGUCACCGGGCCGGUGCUGCGCUUCCAGAUCUGUAUCUCCUGAGGAUACAGAAGGGUGUUUGAGGAGUAUACGCGGGUUAUAAGCCAGCGAUAUCCCGACAUCCGCAUUGAAGGAGAAAAUUACCUUCCACAACCUAUCUACAGACACGUAGCAUCCUUUCUGUCAGUCUUCAAGCUGGUCUUAAUAGGACUAAUUAUAGUCGGUAAAGACCCCUUUCCUAGUUUGGGCAUGGAAGCACCUAGUAUCUGGCAUUGGAGUCAGCAGAACAAGAUCUAUGCAUGCAUGAUGGUGUUCUUCCUUAGUAACAUGAUUGAAAAUCAGUGUAUGUCCACUGGUGCAUUUGAGAUUACAUUAAAUGACGUUCCAGUGUGGUCCAAACUAGAAUCUGGCCAUCUUCCAUCCAUGCAGCAGCUUGUGCAGAUUCUCGACAAUGAAAUGAAGCUCAAUGUACACAUGGAUUCAAUCCCACUUCAUCGGUCUUAGCUAAAUCUCCAGCAUUGGCAAGACUUUUCCGUGAGUGAUUCUUUCAGAAACAUCUUCCUCAAGCAUAUUUGAGUAUUUGAGAGGAUAUUUUCUGAGAACGGUAAGACUGAUGACUAUGAAGGACUGCACUUAAAGCAGCACUGACUGUUUGUGCAGACUGGAUGUUCCCCACAUCAGACCUACUGAACCUUUGAAACUUCCUCUUAAAAAUGGAAAAGACUUCAAUGCUCUGCUACACUGAUUCUGUUCACCCUGUAGUGUACUGCACAUAUAUCAGAUUGUAAUAUGAACAUAGUUUUUUUUAUAUGUAAUUUAAUACAACUUUGUGGAGGCAUUUCAAGAAAUGAUACAAGUGACAAAUAACAGUUCUGUUAUUUUGUGUUUUUAAAUGAGUGAUAUACUAUAAAUUUUGUUUGAUAUUGUACUUUAGAAAUAUAUUAUAAUUUAAUUGUGGGUACAUUUUUAACCUGAAACCUUCAUGAAAAUCUAUUUGCGCUCGUGUAGAAGUCAACAGUUUAGCAUUAGUACUCUGUACUAAUGUUAUUAAAUUGGAACCAUACACUGAAAUAUUUGCCAACAAAUAAAACUCUUUUUCUCCCAAUCCUCACACUCUCAAGUUUAUCGCAAUAUGAAGCUUAACUUGGAGAGUACAAUAUCAUUGGUCAGGGGAUAUAACCAGCUGGGUAGGAAGUUUUCCCUAAAAGUUAGUUAAAAAUGCCUUCAGUUAUAAUUAAAAUGCUAAUAUGUCAGAAUAAAAUUACUAGGUGAUAGUGCUGAAGCAAAAGUUUAAGAUGGAGGGGGAGGGUGCUGAAGGAACACUGGUUCCUCAAACCUAAUUAGAUAGUAAACCUUUGAUAGCCUUUAAUUAUAAAGUGGACACUGAAUUCAUUAGUAAGGGUGAUGGGAGAGUUCUCACGUGGUCAUGCAUUUUUGUGAAGUUUAAUUUGAAAUAAUAUUUUUGGUCAAAUUCAUGUUACUGCCAAACUUUAAGAUUAUUGUUUGAUUAUUUGUAGAGUAACUUUUUUUUUGUUAACCAUUCAUAUUUCUUUCUUUUAUGACCUGAUUUGUGUUCUAUGUUUUGGUGGAAAUUGAGACAUUUACAUACCUUGAAGGAUGCAUUGUGGUAAAGUUUGAGAUGAUGCAUACAGCCUGGUUAAAUAUUUCUAAUAAUCCUGAUAACUGUCUAACUGCAAAGGUCUCUAUGAACCUGCUCUAUUAAAUAGAUAUUUAUCAAAUU
RNA transcript from Mobula hypostoma (lesser devil ray), 1862 nucleotides. It is a transcript of the gene named thioredoxin reductase-like selenoprotein T, with no coding region annotated. The record is from RefSeq and is a predicted model, not a curated record. NCBI's taxonomy places the organism in Eukaryota, Metazoa, Chordata, Chondrichthyes, Myliobatiformes, Myliobatidae. The transcript has 6 exons.